RNAcentral lists this ribosomal RNA (879 nucleotides) under uncultured bacterium. Its description in RNAcentral is "bacterial SSU rRNA". It matches the Rfam family "Bacterial small subunit ribosomal RNA", at positions 20 to 916 of the family's 1533-position model. The record is from RNAcentral.
UGGCUCAGGAUGAACGUUGGCGGCGUGNNAAUACAUGCAAGUCGAANGCGAAGCUUGUUUUNGGACGAGCGGAGAGUGGCGCACGGGUGAGUAACACAUGGCUGACCUGCCCCCCAGAGGGGGACAACCACUGGAAACGGUGGCUAAUACCCCAUACGCUCAUCGUGAUUAGCAGGCGGUGAGGAAAAGUUCAGGCGCUGGGGGAGGGGGCUGUGGCCCAUCAGCUAGUUGGUGUGGUAACGGCGCACCAAGGCGAUGACGGGUAGGGGGCCUGAGAGGGUGACCCCCCACACGGGUACUGAGACACGGACCCGACUCCUACGGGAGGCAGCAGUAAGGGAUAUUGCGACAAUGGGCGAAAGCCUGACGCAGCAACACCGCGUGCGGGAUGACGGCCUUCGGGUUGUAAACCGCUUUUCUGGGGGAAGAGGAAGGACGGUACCUCAGGAAUAAGUCUCGGCUAACUACGUGCCAGCAGCCGCGGUAAAACGUAGGAGGCGAACGUUAUCCGGAUUUACUGGGUGUAAAGCGCGUGCAGGCGGUCAUGUAAGUCGUGUGUGAAAGCGCCCAGGCUCAACCGGGCGAGGACGGACGAAACUGCGUGACUGGAGGCAGGUAGAGGCGUGCGGAAUUCCGGGUGUAGUGGUGAAAUGCGUAGAUAUCCGGAGGAACACCAGUGGCGAAGGCGGCGCGCUGGACCUGACCUGACGCUAAGACGCGAAAGCAUGGGGAGCGAACGGGAUUAGAAACCCCGGUAGUCCAUGCCGUAAACGAUGCGUACUAGGUGUUGCGGCGUCAAGCUGCAGUGCCGAAGCAAACGUGAUAAGUACGCCACCUGGGGACUACGGCCGCAAGGUUAAAACUCAAAGGAAUUGACGG